CGGACAGAAAAAGCGGGCAUUACCACCAGAAGUCAGGGAGUGCCAUCGACGUCCAAGUGUCAGGGAGUGUGUGCACGCUGCCUGCUGGGGAGCCUGCGCAGCUGUCGGAGAGACACGGCUCCCCAAGCACAGCACCCGCGGCCACGGGCAGCUGGACAAGAGGGGCAGACUUACGUGAUCUUCCUGGCAGGUACUAUACUUUGGAGAAAAAAACAUGGCAAAGAGAGCAGCGAGAAAAUUGAGUGCAGUAACUGAAAAACAUCUCUAAUUGUGGAUUCCUUCACAAGGAGAGACAUGGCACCUUUUCUCAGCACAGCUCUUGUAAAAGACAACUGUGAAAAUACUCUAAGGUCUCUUUCAAUAUUUAUUUCUGCUGGACGGUCUGAUAGCCAGAAUUGGACAAGGCAAGGGCAUUAUGAAGGGAUCCUCGAAUUCCAGGGCACAAAUGUCUUGAGCUAUGGGUUUUAUUUUAAGCAGCCCUGAGAGAGAAAUCUAACGCAAAGAAGGAACAAAGAUAUUAAAAGACUCCUUUGCCUCCUCUCUCCCUGUUCUGCAGGUUCCAUGCCAUGUGUCCAAACAACUGUACAGAAACUGUACUGAAAAUUCAAAAUAAUUCUCUUGCUGUCUGCAGUGAAACACAGCUGCUGGGUUUUCCUGAGAUUUAAAUUCAACAGCUCAAUUUUGAUAGCAAUUCUGAUUCCCAGGAUUUCCAUGGAGCCAGAUUUGUCUUAGACGUGCAAGUUCAGUAAAAUUCGUGUCAGUAGCUAUCAGUGUUUAUGUAGUAUGGAAACUGGGCACAUGCUUAGAACCAGAUGAAGAUUUUUAAGAAACCCCUUUUUACUGAAAUGGAGCUGCAGGGAGUGGACAGUAUUGAAUUUUCAAACAAUUGUAACCAUCUGACAACAAUUUUUUGUUUAUAAUACUUAAAAAAACCUCUCAACGAAACCCAGAAAAUUCUCAAUAUGACCCAGAAUAUGAGACAUCUGUGGUCUUCAACAGUGGAGAACAACUAGCAGCAUCUCAAGGGACUCAUCACAUAAUUCAGAGACUUUUUUUUUUGGCUCUCUUUCGUGCUGGGUUUGAAGACAGAUUGCUUUACAAGGUAUACAUGGACCGAGGAAAUUUCUGAAAUUGAAAUUAUGAAGAAAGUUUUCUUGCAAUAAGUCUGCUAUGUACUUUUUAUUGCUUUUAAUCCAGAAACACACAUGUGGGUUUUGAACAGGAAAACAUAUGAAUCAGGAAUACAUCUGCAAAGCAGGGUCCUAAUUUUCAAAGGAUAAAGACAACACUCUACAAUUUCUUUUGUUUCUGGCUUUCUCCCACAUAAGUUUUUGUGCAUGCAAAAUCUGAGGAUGCAAAACUGAUGGCAAAUCAUAACAUGCCAGCCACCCAAUCAAGACUUUGUUUUUGUUUUAAUUUAAAAUAUAGAUUAAAAGAUACCAUAGCAGUACCAAUAUCAGUGGCCUAUGGACAAUGAUGAUGAUAAUAACAGUACGACCCAAUGCAGUUUUAAAUACAAGAUUUGGAUAAUAGCUGGUGCCCUUCACCAUUGUCCUGCUUCUGGCCAGGACAAGGCUAAUUUUUAUAAUAGCAAGAAGAGGGCAUGGCUGGGUUGUUGAGGUUGUUCUAUAUCAUCUCAUGUAAUCUACUGGGGAUGGAAGAAGAGGUUCCUUCCAUGUCAGGAUCUUCAUAAAAUGACAGACUAUUUGCAAGGAGAAUGAUGUGGGAAGUCCAGAGAGGAGCAACUCAGUGCAGUGUACUGGGCCCUGGCCACUUUUUACUGGCCACAGUUUAAUACUAGACUGCAGUCUCAGGGGAAGGAGGAGGAAAUUAGACAAACAGGCACCAUGGCCACUCAAAGUCAGCUGAGUCAGAGGAGCAGUCUGUGCUGGUAGCAGUUUCUCUAUACAGAAGAAGAGGUCUAGGACCAAAUCAAAUUGCAUAGUGAGAAAUGAAGAGGAAGCAGGACCCUCGCUACAGGAGGAAGAGGUAAGGCCUGAGAUAAUCACCAAUCCCUAUCCGUGAGUGAGCUGCGAGAUAUGUGAAAAGGUUUACGCUGCCAGUCGGGUGAGGCCUACUGAACUUCGCUGCUCCAGUGCUGGGAUAUCAUGGCCCAUGGUAUGAAACUUGAUGAUAGUGAAGCCAAGCAGCAGGUAUCUCUGUCCCAGGAUAUGGGAAGAGGACAGAAACUCAACCUCUGAAGGUGACUCUAAACAGUAUUCUGUCAAGGAUGAUCUAGUAGUGCACCCAGGAAGGUGGAACACCAUGGAGAAACAGUGCUUCAGGUGACUACCUGACUCCAGCAAUGUGAUGAUCAUCUUUUUUCUACUUACAAACCUGCACCUUGUCUGUGGAAGGACUGUUCAAAACAGCAGAGACUAGAAAGGAUCGAGCAAGUUAGAGAGGAAAUAUUCCAUGCUCCUGCACUAUUGACCAGACUCUUUGCUGUUGGGAGCAAGUACCCUCCUGCUCAAGAGAGAGGGUACAAACUACAAGGUAACUUGUGGUUUUUGCUGUACGACCACAGACAGGAUGUGGGGAAGUGAGAUAGAAAACUCACCUCAUGCAUAGGUAUGUGAGUUGAGAGGAGUAACAACCACCACUGGAAAUUCAAGGACAAAUGUCACUCCAGUUUCAAGUGAGCAAGUCGUCAGAACAGGAAUGCUGAUGUUACUUCCAGUCCCCUUGAAGGGACUUCCAGUUGAUAUUUAAAAGAAGUGAGCAGUCAUGACCAGUGAGGUCCAACCAAUUGGAGAAAAGGGACAAUCACAUUUGUCUGACUUUGUGGAUCCAGUGGCCUAGAACAUCAGAUCCAUGAGAGAGUAAAGCUUCAGUUGAUCCCAGAGCACAAUUGUACCUGACACCACCAAGACAUGUAGGGGCAGAAUGUAUCACUGUUUCUGGGAUGACAAGGCUGCCUGGACAGCUGACUGUACUGGGAAUUGAAGUGACCCUGACUGGGAGUGAAUGGCAAACACACCCCAUUUUGACUGGUCCAGAAGCCCUGUGCUUCCUUGGCAUGCAUGAUGUCAGUAUUGGGCUUUUCAAGGACCCAGAAAAGCCAUAGUUGGGCUUUUGGGAGAGCUGCUUUGUAGACACAGGAAAUAAGAGAGCUGAACACCUUGCCUCAUCUCUCAGAGGACCCUUCUGCUGUGGGACUGCUGAUGGUCAAAGAACAAAAGAUAUUGAUUGCUGCUAUAGCAGUGCACUGACAAUACUGCACAACCAGGACUCUGUGACUCUGAUCCAUGAGAUGAUUUGUGGUGAGUCAGGGGUGGUCAGUAAGACUGGCUCUCUGUUUAAGAGUCCCAUACAGCCAGUGUGUAAGUCCAGUAGACAGUGGAGACUGACAGUGAACUGUUGUGGUCUGAAGGAAGACACACCACCAAGUGCUGCUGUGCCAGACAUGCUGGAACUUCAGUAUGAACUGGAGUCCAGGACAGCAAAGUUGUGCCACCGCUGACAUUGCAAAUGUGCUCUGCUCCAUGCCUUGAGCAGCAGAGUGCAGGCCAGAGUGCUUUCACCUAGAGGGGCAUGCAGUACCCCUAGAACCGACUUCCCCAGGGCUGGAAACACAGCCCCCAUAUUUGCAAUAGUCUGAUCCAGACUGCACUGGAAAAGGAUGAGGCUCCAGAACACUUACAGUACAUCAAUGACAUCAGUGGGGGAGCAGCAGACAGAGUUUUUUGAGAAAGGGAAGGAGAUAAUCCAAAACAUCCUAAUAGCCAGUUGUGCCAUAAAAAAAUGUAAGGUCAAGUAAGUAAGGAAACUGAGUUUUCAGGAAUCAAAUGGCAAGAUGGACACUAUCAGUUUCCAAUGGAUGAGUUCAACAAAAUUGUGGCCUUGCCCGACCAACAAGCAAAAGGGAAACACAGGCUUCCCUAAUUCAUGUAGGGUUUUGGAGGAUGAAUAUUCCAGAUGACAAUUUGAUUGCAAAUCCUAUUUAUCGUGUGACCCAGAAGAAUGAUUUCAAAUGGAGUCCUGAACAGCUGCACAGGAGAUUGUUCAUGCAGUAGCCCUGCAGCCAGUCAGGACAGGACAGGAUGCAAAAAAUGUGCUCUACACUGCAACUGAGGAGAUCUUCCUAGAGUGUCUGGCAAAAAGUACCCAGGGAGACCCAAGGACAACCCCUAGGGGUCUGCAAUCAGGAAUACAAAAGAUUUGAGAACUGCUGAAAAAGAGAUCCUAGGAGUUUAUGAAGAAACUCCAGGUGUUUCAGAAGUGAUUGUCACUGAAGCACAGCUCUUCCUAGGACCCUAACUGCCAGUGCUGGACUGGACGUUCACAGGCCUUCAUGCAGCUUGGAACCAGCUGACAGCACACCAGCCCUCCAGCCCUGGAAGACACGUAGGACAGAUAGAAAUCACAGUCAUGGACUAAAUGAACUCCGCAGACAUCUUGGACAGACACUGACUAUGGAAAUGGUAUCUAUGCUUGUAAAUCCUUGCCAACUGAUUCCAGGCAGAAGAUUGGCUUUGGUUCUGCAAGCAGCUGCUUAACUUCCCACUUCGCUGGAGAAAAACAAGAAGUAUGCUACUGAGAGACAGGAUUUGUCUGAGUCAGAGUAAAUCAUUGGUUCUCCCCCUUUUUAAAGUUCUAUGUGAAAACAGAAGAUGAUCUCUUAAAGCAGUAAUUAAUGCCGUAAGGUAGUAAAGUCAGCUCCAUCACUGGAGACAGCCCCUUGGAAGACCUGAUUGGAAAUUGUUUACUGAUGGGAACUUUGGACAAGAUGGAAAACAGCUACCUGGAUAUGAAGUGACUGCACACCAUGAGAUAAACGUAUUGGGCACAUGCCCCACUGGUGUUUUGGCCCAGAAAGCAGAACUAAUUGCACUCAUUCACACUUUGGAACUGAGUAAAGGAAAACAUGGUAACAUGGACUGAUUCAAAAUAUUCUUUUGGAAUGGUACAUACACAUCGAGCCAUCUAGAAGUAAAAAGUCUUUUUGACAUCUCAAGGCACAUUGAUCAAAAAUGAAAAAUAGUCCUUGGAUUUAUUUGAAAGAAACCAGCAGAAGUUAGUGUCAUGCAUUAAAGUGCAGUUGAAGCGUGAUUCAGCUGUUGUAAUGUCUUACACUAUAAAAUGAAAUAUAGAUGCUUAUGGACAAGCUCCCUUAAAGAACUUAGUCUCAAAAGAAGGGGAGACUUGAUAAAAACAGUGGAACAGAACAGCAUAUUACUCUCAUAAGGACAGUCAAACAGAACAGCACAACGUUGGAGAAAUAAAGGAUGUAACUUAGGCAAACAGGACCUGUGCAAUACGCAAGCAGGAUGCCAGCUCAGCUCUGCAAGGCUGGCAAAGCAGAAGUCAUGCAAAACAACAAUACUGUGCUAACUCAAAAGCUGGGGUUGAGGAAAAGCCACCUAAAAAGAACACCUGACAUUGAAGACCACCAAAGAAGACCUGAGAAGGACCAUAUAAGGACUUUGACAAGAGGUGUGGUAUGUAAAAUACAGUAAUAAAUAUACAUCGAGUAACGAGGGAUAGUUGAUGAAUAUGUAAUCAGUGUCUAUGAUAAAAACUCUGCCAGUGCUUGGGGCACUCAGAGGAACAAUCCUCUUUGUGACAAGUGAACUGUAAUAAAGUAUUUUCUAUUUCUAAUA
Long non-coding RNA from Passer domesticus (house sparrow), 5603 nucleotides. RefSeq lists it as uncharacterized. The record is from RefSeq and is a predicted model, not a curated record. NCBI's taxonomy places the organism in Eukaryota, Metazoa, Chordata, Aves, Passeriformes, Passeridae. The transcript is spliced from 11 exons.